AAAUAUUAGGUAAUCAUCCAAUGGAUCAUACAAGUAUCAAAGAAAAGCUAGAAGUUUAAUUCAAUUCCUUGCCUCCAUAGGUGUUACAAAUGUUUGCACUAGAUCCCCAAGAAUGAGUUCUAGCCACUAGAGGAAAAAGGAAGAAAGAAAGGAUGGCUUCCCUUAGUUGUUGGUUGAAGCUCCUCCAUUGAUGUUGUUGAAGCUCCCACCAUUGAUGUUCCUUGAAGCUCUUGAAGAAACAUGGCCAAGAUCCAUGGCCUCCCUCUUCUCCAAGCCGCCACCUCUCUCUUUUUCUCCUCUAGGUUGCAAGUAGAAGUGAAGGAUUAUUGUUUUGGGUCAUUAGGUUGAGCAUUUAAUAGCUGAAAUCUGUCCAAAAUUCGUGUCUGGCGCUGCGGCGCCAUGAUUUGGCUUGAACGGGGCGCUACGGCGCGGAAAAGGGGCUGGGCUACUGCUAAGUGGCGCUGCGGCGCCGCAAAUACACUAGCAAGUCACGCUGCAGCGCCGGGCCGUUUUCUGCUUGGAUAUCUGUUGGGAAAAUUGCCAUAACUUCAUCAUACGAACUCCGAUUGAGGCGAUUCAAGAUGAUCCGGAAAGAGAAGAAGUAGAUCUACAACUUUCAUUCUUUGAGUUCUUCGAAAUAAUGGCUAGAGCAAUGCUCAAAGUGGACUUGAAGUAACUGCUAUGCAAAUAGCAAUUGGUAGUUUCCAGAUUUGACACCCGUUGGGAAAAUGGCCAUAACUCUCGUAUCCGAACUCCGAUUGAGGUGAUUCAAGAUGAUCCGGAAAGAAGAGACGUUGAUCUACAACUUCCGUUCUUGAAGUUUGGGUAGAUAAUGGCCGGAUCAUGGCAAAAAUUGGGCUUUACGGGACUGCUAUGUCAAUGACAAACCGAAAAUGCGAAUUUAGCGAUUCCAACCAUCGACCCAAAUGACAUUCCAUCCAAUUACUACAAAACAAAGUAAAAACACAUAAAACUAAUACAAAUAUACAUAAAAGCAAUAUAAAACUAUAUUACUCAACAAUACAAUGAAAACACAUAAAAAGAAAACAAACUAGCUUAGGAUUUACAAAUUAUCAAACUCAAAAGUACCUAAUUUAUGUAUAUAAAACACACUCAUCAAAUACCCCCAAACUUGAAUCUUUGUUUGUCCUCAAGCAAAACACUAAGAACAAAAACUAUAAAAAUAAAUUCUAACAAUCAACCACUUGAGCAAUGAAUCAAUAAGUUUGAACAAUGUCCUUAAAGAUGUCAAAACAUGAUAACUCUAGAAAACUUUCAAAAUGUCAGAACUUCUAGGAUUUCAACUUGCUUGUUAGUACCUUGCUUUAGAUCCUUUCUGUGUGUGUGUGUAUCCAUUUACACUAAACCAAUUAUAGCUCGGAUUAGCUUAUACAACCAUAUUACCUUAUGAAAGAAAUAAACUUCAAAAACUACAUGCUUAACACAUCACUCAUCGCAAUUGUAGACAAAUCAAACAUUCCAAAAAUUUGAGAUUAAAGGACUCUUAGGUGAGUGCAUUUUAUGCUCCAUCUUACCCUAAGUCCGCUUUUAUGGGCGAGUGCAUUUUACACUCCAUCUCACCCUAAGUCCGCUUUUAUGGGCGAGUGCGUUUUACGCUCCAUCUCAACCCACCACAAAAUUUUCGAUAUAUUUUUAUUUCUUUUUUUUUUCAUAGGUGAGUGCGUUUUACGCUCUAUCUCCCUUAAGUAUGUGUUUAUGAGUGAGUGCGUUUUACGCUCCAUCUCAACCCACCACAUGACCAAUUAAUCAAACCUAAGUAUAUUGCUUCGAGUGAUGUUUAAACGAGUUCUAGAGUUUAUUGAUAUCUCUCAUAAGCAUUCGGUCAUAUAAGCCUUCUCUAAGUAUACAACUAGUUCAUUACAAAUGGAUGAGUGCUCAAAAGUAGGAGUCAUAAGCAAAGCAAUAACCAACAAUAAGUCAAUCACCCAAACUAAGCAAUAUUUAUCUAUUUCAUGAGUUAUAACCUUAACAAUCAUUUGCCUGAUCAUAUAUUAUAACUCAAUUCAAAUUAAAUCAAUGCUCAAGAGAUAACCUAUACUAGAAAUGCAAUUAAGCCCACAAAAUAAAAUAAAAUAAAACAUAUCAAAACAAAACGUAGAAGACCCCCAAACUUGAAACUGACAAUGUCCUUACUAAACGCAAUAAAAGAAUUCAAUGCAAAGAACUUCCGUGAUCAUUUAUCAGUUGUCGCCUUCCGCAACUGAAGUCUACUAUUUGCUAAGAUAUAACAUAAAAUGGAAAAUUUUCAAAAUUUUAACUAAUAUGCACUACUAAACAUAAAAACAUCCAAAUAUCUGACAUAAUAAUAUAAUACCAACUCAAGUACCAAGAAUAUCACGAGUACCACCAAACUUAAGAAGAACAUUGUCCUCAAUGUAAAGAUAGAUAAAAUUAAAACUAGAGGACUUCCCUGAGAAUAUGUUAAUCGUCAUCGACAUCUUCCUCCAAGUCCUCCAAGUCGGGAGUGCCAAACUUGUUGCGCGAUACUCGGUACCUGAAAGAAACACAAAACUUUACACUUUGGGUUGCCUCCCAACAAGCGCUUGGUUUAUAGUCUUCGGCCUGACUUUAUUUAAACAGAAAAAACAAGUUUAAUAAAAAUGUGUCAUGCAAAAUCGGACUGUAAGGAUCCAACAGUUACGCUGAGUCUUGCACAAGAGAAAUGCAUUUACUUACAAUCUUGUCAAUCCAAUCUCACAAACGAUAACAAUAAAUAGAACUGUAAGGCCCCAAAUUACGUCAAGUCUUGCACAAGAGCUGCAUUUACAUACAGUCUUGUCAGCUUAUUUAUCGCAAUCGAAAAACACGCGCAAAUAAAGAUCAAACAAAUAAAAGAUAAAUAUAAGUUCAAAUUAAGACUACAUUGAUUGAAAUCAAUAUUGGAAAAUAUUAGAAUAAUAAUUCCCCGGCAACGGCGCCAAAAACUUAUUGCUCGAUUUUGCAACCAAUAAACACGCGCAAGUAUACGCGGUCAACAAGUAAUAUAAUGAUAAGAGAGUUGUCGAACCCACGAGGAAUUAUCACUAAUGAUUAACCAAGUGCUAACUUUAUAUCGCCUCAGUCUUAUUUAAACAUUUAAUUGAAAUGAUACAUUAUGAUUAUAAUUAAUCAAAAUAACAGAAAAACAAAACAUAGAUAGAUAGAUAAAGAGCUAAGAACACAAUAUCCACACAUAAGCAUUUUGUCAAACACUCGGCGUGCAUCACUUUGUUCAAAUCUCUUAACUCUCUUUAUGAUCAUGGCGGCCACUAUGAAUUGGCAAUACAUAAAUUAUGCAUAUACAUAAUCACAUAAAGAACCAAUUCACAUGACACCAAUCAAAAAGAAAACAAAUUAGAAGUUUAAUUCAUAACAAAUAAAUCAAACUAUUCCAAAUAUUAGGUAAUCAUCCAAUGGAUCAUACAAGUAUCAAAGAAAAGCUAGAAGUUUAAUUCAAUUCCUUGCCUCCAUAGGUGUUACAAAUGUUUGCACUAGAUCCCCAAGAAUGAGUUCUAGCCACUAGAGGAAAAAGGAAGAAAGAAAGGAUGGCUUCCCUUAGUUGUUGGUUGAAGCUCCUCCAUUGAUGUUGUUGAAGCUCCCACCAUUGAUGCUCCUUGAAGCUCUUGAAGAACCAUGGCCAAGAGCCAUGGCCUCCCUCUUCUCCAAGCCGCCACCUCUCUCUUUUUC
Molecule: long non-coding RNA, 3687 nt
Filed under: Panax ginseng (ginseng)
Lineage: Eukaryota; Viridiplantae; Streptophyta; Magnoliopsida; Apiales; Araliaceae
Description: long non-coding RNA (PGIN_LNC013155)
Source: RNAcentral